Molecule: long non-coding RNA, 227 nt
Filed under: Olea europaea (common olive)
Lineage: Eukaryota; Viridiplantae; Streptophyta; Magnoliopsida; Lamiales; Oleaceae
Description: long non-coding RNA (OEUR_LNC009461)
Source: RNAcentral
UUUGUCAGAUCUGCAAUCUUUUGCUUUUCUUUUCGUUCAAUCAACCUUGAUUUGCCACCACAGCUGUCCAAUUGUCCAGCCUCCAACGGUGAUCCACACAGAGAAUAUGAUUGCAGCCUCUAGGGUUUUCUCUUGUGCCAGCAAGAACAAUGAAAACCUUAAUGGACCUCAAACCCUAGUUAUGUAUUUAUAUAAACCCAAACAGGCUCGGCCCGGUCCGGUCCAAU